AAGGAAGGGCCUUCCUGGGAAGGAAAAUCUGGAAUAAUCCACACUUCCCUGUGUGGUACAGGAGCUGCCAGGAGGAGGCAAGAUUUCAGAUGGGCACUUGCUGCUUCCCAGGGUUUGGGAAGAUUUCAAAGCCACUGGAAAAUGUUGGUUCAACUCCACUUCGGCCUAAAAUCCAUGUUGUCCAACAAACACCCCGGCUUUGGGGACAUUCCAUGGAUGUGGUGAAGGGGUGGAAGCCACCAAGGAGCCACCAAGUGCUGGGACCCUCGGGAAUCACAGCCCAAAUAUUUGGGAUUCUUCCUCCCCCACUCCCAGGCUUCCCCCAGGACAUCCUUCCCCGUGGAUUUACCUGGAAGGCUGCAGUGCCUGGAGAGCUGCCUGGAGAGCACAACAGGACCUGGAAACAAAGGAGAAGGUUUGGUCUGGAGCCAUGCUCCGAGAUCAUGGAAUUCUGGUGAUCUCCCUCCACACCUCCACACCCACGUGUGGGUCUGGAUCCUGCUCCAAAGCCAUGGAAUUCUGGUGAUCUCCCUCCACACCUCCACACCCACGUGUGGGUCUGGAUCCUGCUCCAAAGCCAUGGAAUUCUGCUCUUCCACAUCCACACCCCCACCAGAGAGGGAUGCAAGGAAAACGAGCGCUGUGGUUGUGUCCCAUGAAAAACCAUUCCCUGGGAUUUUCCCCUUGGAUGUGCUAUGAGCCCAGCCAGGUUUUAUUUUCCAAACUAUUUGGGCUCCUCCCAACAUUUCCUGCCUUUUGGAAGUUGGGAAACCCCUCAAUCCAUGGGAAAGUUCUCCAGCUCAACCCCAUCCCAAUUUCAGCAAGAGUUGCCCCUGCACCAGCAGAAACUGGGAAUGGUUGGAAAGGGAAUUUUGAUCCCAGAUGUCCUGUAGGAACAGGGCCAAAGCAGUGUCCUGGUGCAUCCCCUUCCCUUGGAUUUGGGAUCAGAUCAAGCCUGGGCAUCAGAGCAGCCCAAGGUUUUUCCACCGGAGAAGAGAAGGAGCCACCCUCGUGCUCCUUGGAAGGCUGAGGAAUAUUCCCUGCUCUCCAUCCCGGAAAUCCUCAGCUGAGAAAUGGGAUCAACAACCUGUUUUCCACUCUCAGGGAAGGGGGGGAAGUCUGGAGUCAUUCCCAAAUGCUUUAUUAAUUCCAUGGCUUUUGCUGGAAGCAAAGGGGGCUGGAAUGAGGCAACUCUGCCUGGCUGGAGCUGGUUGCUAUUGGAGUUUUUCCUGGAAAUCCAUUAACACAACGUGGGGAGGGAGGUGAAAAUUACCCUUAAUACCGAACUGUUGUUGGAAAGGGGGAAAUUGGGAUAUUCCAUGUAGGAGAUGAAGGAAAAAACACAUUUUUUAUCAAAAAAAAGGGAUUUUCUGCACUAUUUCCAGCCCUUUCUGAGAAAUUUGCACCUGGUUCCAAUUAACCCUAAAGCUUCAUUAAUGAUCAGUUUGGCACCAGUCAUAAUUAAUCACAAAUGUGCAUUUUUCCAUGGAAUAAAAGGUUUACCUGAGCACAUUUGCAAUUCCAUUUA
This is a long non-coding RNA of Passer domesticus (house sparrow), 1528 nucleotides long. RefSeq lists it as uncharacterized. The transcript has 2 exons. Lineage: Eukaryota; Metazoa; Chordata; Aves; Passeriformes; Passeridae. The record is from RefSeq and is a predicted model, not a curated record.